RNAcentral lists this ribosomal RNA (484 nucleotides) under uncultured bacterium. Its description in RNAcentral is "partial 16S ribosomal RNA". It matches the Rfam family "Bacterial small subunit ribosomal RNA", at positions 29 to 507 of the family's 1533-position model. The record is from RNAcentral.
AUUGAACGCUGGCGGCAUGCUUUACACAUGCAAGUCGAACGGCAGCGCGGGCUUCGGCCUGGCGGCGAGUGGCGAACGGGUGAGUAAUACAUCGGAACGUGCCCAGUAGUGGGGGAUAGCUCGGCGAAAGCCGGAUUAAUACCGCAUACGACCUGAGGGUGAAAGCGGGGGAUCUUCGGACCUCGCGCUAUUGGAGCGGCCGAUGGCAGAUUAGCUAGUUGGUGGGGUAAAGGCCUACCAAGGCGACGAUCUGUAGCUGGUCUGAGAGGACGACCAGCCACACUGGGACUGAGACACGGCCCAGACUCCUACGGGAGGCAGCAGUGGGGAAUUUUGGACAAUGGGCGAAAGCCUGAUCCAGCAAUGCCGCGUGUGUGAUGAAGGCCUUCGGGUUGUAAAGCACUUUUGGCGGGAACGAAAAGGACUGUGCUAAUACCACGGCUCGAUGACGGUACCUGCAGAAUAAGCACCGGCUAACUACGUG